Neomonachus schauinslandi (Hawaiian monk seal) is the source of this 95-nucleotide long non-coding RNA. RefSeq lists it as uncharacterized. The transcript has 3 exons. NCBI's taxonomy places the organism in Eukaryota, Metazoa, Chordata, Mammalia, Carnivora, Phocidae. The record is from RefSeq and is a predicted model, not a curated record.
AUUCUGGCUCAUGGAUAGAAAACCAAGAAAUGAUACCACCCAAAUCUUGAAACCACAUAGAAAAUUGGGUUGAGAUGCCUACAGACCCCUAAAAG